Molecule: non-coding RNA, 21 nt
Filed under: Arabidopsis thaliana (thale cress)
Lineage: Eukaryota; Viridiplantae; Streptophyta; Magnoliopsida; Brassicales; Brassicaceae
Source: RNAcentral
UUCCUGAUUUCUUCACUUCCA